RNAcentral lists this ribosomal RNA (313 nucleotides) under uncultured Hyphomicrobiales bacterium. RNAcentral's name for it is "bacterial SSU rRNA". It matches the Rfam family "Bacterial small subunit ribosomal RNA", at positions 21 to 362 of the family's 1533-position model. The record is from RNAcentral. Lineage: Bacteria; Pseudomonadati; Pseudomonadota; Alphaproteobacteria; Hyphomicrobiales.
GGCUCAGAACGAACGCUGGCGGCAGGCCUAACACAUGCAAGUCGAACGCUGCAGCAAUGCAGAGUGGCAGACGGGUGAGUAACGCGUGGGAACCUUCCCAGUGGUACGGAAUAGCCCAGGGAAACUUGGGGUAAUACCGUAUAAGCCCCUAGGGGGAAAGAUUUAUCGCCAUUGGAUGGGCCCGCGUCGGAUUAGCUAGUUGGUGAGGUAACGGCUCACCAAGGCAACGAUCCGUAGCUGGUUUGAGAGAAUGACCAGCCACACUGGGACUGAGACAGGACCCAGACUCCUACGUGCGGCAGCAGUGAAUCUU